This 253-nucleotide ribosomal RNA is filed under the name uncultured bacterium. RNAcentral's name for it is "partial 16S ribosomal RNA". It matches the Rfam family "Bacterial small subunit ribosomal RNA", at positions 524 to 776 of the family's 1533-position model. The record is from RNAcentral.
UACGUAGGGUGCAAGCGUUGUCCGGAUUUAUUGGGUUUAAAGGGUGCGUAGGCGGUCCGUUAAGUCCGGGGUGAAAGCCCACUGCUCAACAGUGGAACUGCCCUGGAAACUGGCGGACUUGAGUACAGACGAGGGUGGCGGAAUGGAUGGUGUAGCGGUGAAAUGCAUAGAUACCAUCCAGAACCCCGAUUGCGAAGGCAGCUGCCUAGACUGUAACUGACGCUGAGGCACGAAAGCGUGGGGAGCGAACAGG